AGAAUCAACGCUGGCGGCGCGCCUAACACAUGCAAGUCGAACGAGAAAGUGGAGCAAUCCAUGAGUACAGUGGCGUACGGGUGAGUAACACGUGGGUGAUCUACCUCUUAGUGAGGAAUAACCCUGGGAAACCGGGGCUAAUACCGCAUAAGCCUGAGAAGGGAAAGCAGCAAUGCGCUGAGAGAGGAGCCCGCGGCCGAUUAGCUAGUUGGUGAGGUAAAAGCCCACCAAGGCAGAGAUCGGUAGCCGGCCUGAGAGGGCACACGGCCACACUGGCACUGAAACACGGGCCAGACUCCUACGGGAGGCAGCAGUGGGGAAUCUUGCACAAUGGGGGAAACCCUGAUGCAGCGACGCCGCGUGAGCGAUGAAGCCCUUCGGGGUGUAAAGCUCUUUCGUCAGGGAAGAUUAUGACGGUACCUGGAGAAGCAGCUGCGGCUAACUACGUGCCAGCAGCCGCGGU
Molecule: ribosomal RNA, 463 nt
Filed under: uncultured bacterium
Lineage: Bacteria
Description: SSU rRNA
Rfam family: Bacterial small subunit ribosomal RNA
Source: RNAcentral